CUGAUCCAAUAAUAGAGAGUCGCAAUAACCUGCGCUGGAGACCUCCACCAAUUCUCCCAUUCUUCAUCUCCUAUGACUGUCCCUCAUACCACUAGUUUAUUUAGCAGUUGCUAUGCUCCAACUCGGCGAUGAGCGUUUUACGCCACCAUCUCUACAGCCAUAGAUCUUCGCUAUCUUUUGCGACCAUUGCAACCACUUUUUUAACCUUUCUUUUGCUUUCUUCAGCUCUUGGCUUACACCCUACUCGUAAUCUCAGGUUGAUUGAACGAGUUCUCCUUAUUACACAGCAAAAACUGAGUACUGGACCAGGUUCGUCGCCACCCACGUCUAGAUCCAAGUGCGGACGGUGUUCACCAUGUAAACCGGUUCGAGUGUCCGUUCAACCUGGUUUUACUACUUUAGAGUACUAUCCUGAAGCUUGGAGGUGCAAGUGUCGCAACAAACUCUUCAUGCCUUAGACUGUACUACUCAUGUUUCUUUCUUUCUUGAUUCUCUACUUGCUAAUUACUAAGCAUUAGUUUCUUCUUCUCUUCUCCAUCACACUGUGUAUAAAUCAGAAAAGAUUGAUCCAACAAUACCUAUUAUUGUCA
This is a long non-coding RNA of Nicotiana attenuata, 590 nucleotides long. RefSeq lists it as uncharacterized. Lineage: Eukaryota; Viridiplantae; Streptophyta; Magnoliopsida; Solanales; Solanaceae. The record is from RefSeq and is a predicted model, not a curated record. The transcript is spliced from 2 exons.